UACGAAGGGGGCUAGCGUUGCUCGGAAUUACUGGGCGUAAAGGGAGCGUAGGCGGAUAGUUUAGUCAGAGGUGAAAGCCCAGGGCUCAACCUUGGAAUUGCCUUUGAUACUGGCUAUCUUGAGUACGGAAGAGGUAUGUGGAACUCCGAGUGUAGAGGUGAAAUUCGUAGAUAUUCGGAAGAACACCAGUGGCGAAGGCGACAUACUGGUCCGUUACUGACGCUGAGGCUCGAAAGCGUGGGGAGCAAACAGGAUUAGAAACCCCCGUAGUCC
Molecule: ribosomal RNA, 273 nt
Filed under: uncultured bacterium
Lineage: Bacteria
Description: partial 16S ribosomal RNA
Rfam family: Bacterial small subunit ribosomal RNA
Source: RNAcentral